AGAGUUUGAUCAUGGCUCAGGAUGAACGCUAGCGACAGGCUUAACACAUGCAAGUUGAGGGCAGCAUAGAAGUAGCAAUACUUGGUGGCGACCGGCGCACGGGUGAGUAACGCGUAUGCAACCUACCUAUCAGAGGGGAAUAACCCGGCGAAAGUCGGACUAAUACCGCAUAAAACAGGGGCACCGCAUGGUGAUAUUUGUUAAAGAAAUUCGCUGAUAGAUGGGCGUGCGUUCCAUUAGGUAGUUGGUGAGGUAACGGCUCACCAAGCCGACGAUGGAUAGGGGAACUGAGAGGUUGGUCCCCCACACUGGUACUGAGACACGGACCAGACUCCUACGGGAGGCAGCAGUGAGGAAUAUUGGUCAAUGGGCGGGAGCCUGAACCAGCCAAGUCGCGUGAAGGAAGAAGGAUCUAUGGUUCGUAAACUUCUUUUGCAGGGGAAUAAAGUGCAGGACGUGUCCUGUUUUGUAUGUACCCUGAGAAUAAGGAUCGGCUAACUCCGUGCCAGCCGCGGC
RNAcentral lists this ribosomal RNA (516 nucleotides) under uncultured bacterium. RNAcentral describes it as "bacterial SSU rRNA". It matches the Rfam family "Bacterial small subunit ribosomal RNA", at positions 8 to 518 of the family's 1533-position model. The record is from RNAcentral.